GACGAACGCUGGCGGCGUGCCUAAUACAUGCAAGUAGAACGCUGAAGCUUGGUGCUUGCACCGAGCGGAUGAGUUGCGAACGGGUGGGUAACGCGUAGGUAACCUGCCUGGUAGCGGGGGAUAACUAUUGGAAACGAUAGCUAAUACCGCAUAAGAGUAGAUGUUGCAUGACAUUUGCUUAAAAGGUGCAAUUGCAUCACUACCAGAUGGACCUGCGUUGUAUUAGCUAGUUGGUGAGGUAACGGCUCACCAAGGCAACGAUACAUAGCCGACCUGAUAGGGUGAUCGGCCACACUGGGACUGAGACACGGCCCAGACUCCUACGGGAGGCAGCAGUAGGGAAUCUUCGGCAAUGGACGGAAGUCUGACCGAGCAACGCCGCGUGAGUGAAGAAGGUUUUCGGAUCGUAAAGCUCUGUUGUAAGAGAAGAACGAGUGUGAGAGUGGAAAGUUCACACUGUGACGGUAUCUUACCAGAAAGGGACGGCUAACUACGUG
This 497-nucleotide ribosomal RNA is filed under the name uncultured bacterium. RNAcentral's name for it is "partial 16S ribosomal RNA". It matches the Rfam family "Bacterial small subunit ribosomal RNA", at positions 28 to 507 of the family's 1533-position model. The record is from RNAcentral.